This 478-nucleotide ribosomal RNA is filed under the name uncultured bacterium. RNAcentral's name for it is "partial 16S ribosomal RNA". It matches the Rfam family "Bacterial small subunit ribosomal RNA", at positions 28 to 507 of the family's 1533-position model. The record is from RNAcentral.
GAUGAACGCUAGCGGCAGGCCUAACACAUGCAAGUCGAGGGAGAAGCCCUUUCGGGGGCAGAAACCGGCGCACGGGUGCGUAACGCGUAUGCAACCUACCUUUCACAGGGGGAUAGCCCGAAGAAAUUUGGAUUAAUACCCCAUAAUAUUAUUGGAUGGCAUCAUUUGAUAAUUAAAACUGCGGUGGUGAAAGAUGGGCAUGCGUCCUAUUAGCUAGUUGGAGUGGUAACGGCACCCCAAGGCUACGAUAGGUAGGGGUCCUGAGAGGGAGAUCCCCCACACUGGUACUGAGACAGGGACCAGACUCCUACGGGAGGCAGCAGUGAGGAAUAUUGAUCAAUGGUCGGAAGACUGAACCAGCCAUGCCGCGUGCAGGAAGAAUGCCUUAUGGGUUGUAAACUGCUUUUAUAUGGGAAGAAUAAGGUGUACGUGUACAUUGAUGACGGUACCAUAUGAAUAAGCAUCGGCUAACUCCGUG